This is a long non-coding RNA of Dermacentor albipictus, 530 nucleotides long. RefSeq lists it as uncharacterized. The record is from RefSeq and is a predicted model, not a curated record. Lineage: Eukaryota; Metazoa; Arthropoda; Arachnida; Ixodida; Ixodidae.
CCGGUCGCGCAUCUGAGCGUUGCCCUGCUCGGUCACCCGUCUGCCUGUUUUUCUGUUGUUGGAUUUAGCCUGGUUUUGUUUGCCCCGGCGAAUUCUUGCGUUCGUUCAGAACUUCGAAAUGGCACCACAACACUAUUAGACUACGGCAAGGCCGACAGCCAGUCCUCGUCGUCCUGGUCUUCCGUACCCGAAAAUACCGGGGGGUCUCGCUGGCAACCGGGCCGGGGCAAACGGCGGCCGGGAGAGAUGGCGGUGGUUGGGCAGCGUCAGCUUGCAUGGUCGAGUGCAACGUACGGGAUCGGAGUUCCAGGGUGCCGGCGAUGUGCGUACCCAGCACCUCCAACAAAUGCCUUCAAAAUGGGAACAUAGGCAUUGCAGACAGUAGGACAUGUUCAGGCAAAGCCGAAGGCAUCUGCAAGCAGCCAGUCAUUCCAAUUCACAACCAAUCCUUCCGCUAGUUAAUCCAUAUCUAUAGUGUUUAGUCGUGGAAGUUCUUUGUUCAGUAAAACACAAUAAACAUAGGUUUGUUC